This 545-nucleotide ribosomal RNA is filed under the name uncultured bacterium. RNAcentral's name for it is "bacterial SSU rRNA". It matches the Rfam family "Bacterial small subunit ribosomal RNA", at positions 777 to 1320 of the family's 1533-position model. The record is from RNAcentral.
AAUAGAUACCCCGGUAGUCCACGCCGUAAACGAUGAGUGCUAAGUGUUAGGGGGUUUCCGCCCCUUAGUGCUGCAGCUAACGCAUUAAGCACUCCGCCUGGGGAGUACGGUCGCAAGACUGAAACUCAAAGGAAUUGACGGGGGCCCGCACAAGCGGUGGAGCAUGUGGUUUAAUUCGAAGCAACGCGAAGAACCUUACCAGGUCUUGACAUCCCAUUGACCACUAUGGAGACAUAGUUUUCCCUUCGGGGACAACGGUGACAGGUGGUGCAUGGUUGUCGUCAGCUCGUGUCGUGAGAUGUUGGGUUAAGUCCCGCAACGAGCGCAACCCUUGUUCUUAGUUGCCAUCAUUUAGUUGGGCACUCUAAGGAGACUGCCGGUGACAAACCGGAGGAAGGUGGGGAUGACGUCAAAUCAUCAUGCCCCUUAUGACCUGGGCUACACACGUGCUACAAUGGACGGUACAAACGGUUGCCAACCCGCGAGAGGGAGCUAAUCCGAUAAAACCGUUCUCAGUUCGGAUUGUAGGCUGCAACUCGCCUACA